CGAUGAAGCUGGAGCUUGCUCCGGUGGAUUAGUGGCGAACGGGUGAGUAACACGUGAGCAAUCUGCCCUUGACUCUGGGAUAACUGCGGGAAACUGUAGCUAAUACCGGAUACUUUCCUCGGUGGGCAUCCACUGGGGAAGAAAGAAUUUCGGUCAAGGAUGAGCUCGCGACCUAUCAGCUAGUUGGUGAGGUAAUGGCUCACCAAGGCGACGACGGGUAGCCGGCCUGAGAGGGUGACCGGCCACACUGGGACUGAGACACGGCCCAGACUCCUACGGGAGGCAGCAGUGGGGAAUAUUGCACAAUGGGCGCAAGCCUGAUGCAGCAACGCCGCGUGAGGGACGAAGGCCUUCGGGUUGUAAACCUCUUUUAGCAGGGAAGAAGCGAAAGUGACGGUACCUGCAGAAAAAGCACCGGCUAACUACGUGCCAGCAGCCGCGGUAAUACGUAGGGUGCAAGCGUUGUCCGGAAUUAUUGGGCGUAAAGAGCUCGUAGGCGGUUUGUCACGUCUGCUGUGAAAUUUCGAGGCUCAACCUCGAACUUGCAGUGGGUACGGGCAGGCUAGAGUGCGGUAGGGGAGAUGGGAAUUCCUGGUGUAGCGGUGGAAUGCGCAGAUAUCAGGAGGAACACCAAUGGCGAAGGCACAUCUCUGGGCCGUAACUGACGCUGAGGAGCGAAAGCAUGGGGAGCAAACAGGAUUAGAUACCCUGGUAGUCCAUGCCGUAAACGGUGGGUGCUAGCUGUGGGCCACAUUCCACGUGGUCCGUGACGAAGUUAACACAUUAAGCACCC
RNAcentral lists this ribosomal RNA (793 nucleotides) under uncultured Actinomycetes bacterium. RNAcentral's name for it is "bacterial SSU rRNA". It matches the Rfam family "Bacterial small subunit ribosomal RNA", at positions 67 to 869 of the family's 1533-position model. The record is from RNAcentral. Lineage: Bacteria; Bacillati; Actinomycetota; Actinomycetes.